Molecule: small nuclear RNA, 164 nt
Organism: Lepus europaeus (European hare)
Lineage: Eukaryota; Metazoa; Chordata; Mammalia; Lagomorpha; Leporidae
Product: U1 spliceosomal RNA
Exons: 1
Source: RefSeq, a predicted model, not a curated record
AUGCUUGCCUGGCAGGGGCGAUACCAUGAUCACCAAGGUGAUUUUCUCAGGGUGAGGCUUAUCCAUUGCACUCCAGAUGUGCUGACCGCUGUGAUUUCCCCAAAUGUGGGAAAUUCAACUGCAUAAUUUGUGCUAGUAGGGGACUGCAUUUGUGCUCUCCCCUA